Molecule: ribosomal RNA, 211 nt
Filed under: uncultured soil bacterium
Lineage: Bacteria
Description: partial 16S ribosomal RNA
Rfam family: Bacterial small subunit ribosomal RNA
Source: RNAcentral
AGAUUGAACGCUGGCGGCAUGCCUUACACAUGCAAGUCGAACGGCAGCACGGGAGCAAUCCUGGUGGCGAGUGGCGAACGGGUGAGUAAUACAUCGGAACGUGCCCAAUCGUGGGGGAUAACGCAGCGAAAGCUGUGCUAAUACCGCAGUAAGAUCUACGGAUGAAAGCAGGGGAUCGCAAGGACCUUGCGCGAAUGGAGCGGUCCGAUGG